UAACUCGAUGGGUGAGCAAUUAGUGAUAUGAUGAAUU
This 37-nucleotide non-coding RNA is filed under the name Trypanosoma brucei brucei. Lineage: Eukaryota; Euglenozoa; Kinetoplastea; Trypanosomatida; Trypanosomatidae. The record is from RNAcentral.